Mustela erminea (ermine) is the source of this 2842-nucleotide long non-coding RNA. RefSeq lists it as uncharacterized. The transcript is spliced from 4 exons. The record is from RefSeq and is a predicted model, not a curated record. NCBI's taxonomy places the organism in Eukaryota, Metazoa, Chordata, Mammalia, Carnivora, Mustelidae.
GGGCGAGCCUGUGGUCAGAUGAUAGCAGUCCGUCGACCUCAACAGCCUGCCUCUACCCUGAAGUCAUUAGAGAUGAAAGUUCUUGAGCAGCGUUGAUGUGCAGAGAGUGCUCCGCCAGAUCCCCGAGUCCGUCUGGCCCUUCCUUCUGCGCGGGCGCUGUUCUGGGACGCUGCCUUGUUCCUGAUCUUAAAGGGAAAGCUCUCAUUUCUUCACCUUUGAGAAUGAUGUUAGCUCUGGGCUCAUAUUCCAUCUCAAAUUAUGUUUAGUUCAUGUGGUGUAUCCCACUAAUCCAGUCAUCUCUGAGGUGUGUUGAUGAUGAUGAAUAUCCCGGCAAACCUGGCAAGACUGUGUCCCAGAUCUACCAGUUAACGGUGAGUCAAAUUUUGUGUUCAUUUAGGCUGCAGAAGCCUUUCAGUUUUUGAUUUCUCAAAAAGGGAGUCCACGAAUUGAUGCUAAAUUGGUGUGUUUGUGGGAAUAAGGAGGUCCUCGGCUUCCUACACCAUGUCUUGCUCUAGAAAUAGCACUGCUCCCUUGUUCUCAGCUCCCCUCGGCCCAUCCACCCACUCUUGGAGUACGGCCCCAGCGCUCGUGGUGGCUGUCACACCCACUAGCACCAUAGUUCCAAUAACUGCUCCCUGAGAGUGCGGAGACCAUCCUGGAAGCUUAACUAGUUCUGUGGCAAAGGAGCUCGAGCUCUUGACCAUUCCAGUGUUGGAAUGAUUUAUCGUUUUCUGAGCACUGGGGCCAUCAUUCUGUGAUGCGUUCGUUGUUCAACAAAUAGCGUGGUGUCCUAGGCAGUGGGGAAACAGACCAAGUCCUCAGGCCAUUCCUGACUCCUGUUUCUCUCCUACCACGCGUCUCAUCUCAUCACUAAGUCCAGUGGCUCUACCGGCAAAGUCAGCCCAGUUUGAGACUUCCAGUGCCCUCCUCAACCACAAACUGCUCCAAACCACCAUCAUCUCAUAUGGCCUCACUAUUCCAGUAACUCCUGAGUUCCUCGCUUUACCUCGGGCCCCAUAGUCUAAUCAUAACACAGCAACUGAGCGAAUGCAUAGAAUUGUGAGUCCGAUCUCCUGUUCCUUUGCUCCAGUGGUUUCUCAGAAUAAACACCAGAUUCUUUAAUGUUACCUGAUGGAUCUUACACAAUCUGGCCUCCAUCUCCUUUCUGACAUCUAGUGCUCUCCUCUGUCACUCCACCAUGCUGGCCUUCUUGCUUGAAGCGAUACAUGAUUGACUAUGAAGUAGGGAAGUCAGUCAUUGUCAUACGUAUCCACACAAGUGCUUUAAGAGGAAGAACCUGAACAGAGACAUGAUCCUCACCUGUCAUGUCCUGGCCACCAUCCUGGUGUGCUCUUCCCUUGUCUCCUCCUGGGUGGAAAGAGAACUGCCUGGAGAGGCCUGCGUCCUCGUCCGUGCACCCUUCAAAGACCACAGGAGUCAGACGUGCUGGGAGCCCAAACACAAGCCCAGUGAGUCCCGGGGUAAGCUGCAGCCUCGGGUACCUGCCGCCCCGGCCACUCCUUCCUGCUCCCUGGACACCUGGGCACCGGGAAAACCGGGGAGUGGACCCUUAAAAAGGAUGAACUUCUCAGACUCUCUUGUCCUUCUUCCCUGAUUCUAGCCUACUUUCUCCUGGGUAGAGUUUUCGCGGUCAGCGCCCUUCUUCUCUACUCUGCUUCAACUUUGUGUUGCUGACCUUCCCGCAGUUACUCCCUGAGACCCAGAAACAGUAUGUUUCCUGUGCUGGUGUCUUCAUUGUCACAGGCAAGGAGAGGCGGGAAUGAACUCGGAAGGUCUUGGCUUUGGGUUAGGGUGGGAUUUUCGCUUGAUCUGCUUUUUAAUCACUGUUCAGGAAAGUACAGAGGAAGAGGAAAGUCUAGGAGAAGCACAUCGUCUCAACGGAGGCAGAAGGAAAGUGGGGGGCAGUAGCAAUGGCACGAUUCUGGUUCAUCGAUCACGACCCUGCCGUGAAACCUUGGAGGACUGGCAGAGGCUAAUCGGGAGACCUGCAUCUCCCCUUUCUUGGGUCCACAGGAAACAGAAGACCACUUGUAGGACUGGUUACAUAAUUUGGGCGGCCCGGUGCGAAAUGAAGGUGUGGAGUCUCCUGGUCGAAAAUUAUUAGCAAUUUCAAGAUGCUGACAGCAGAGCUUUAAAGCAAGCAUGAGCUCCUCUGAGUGUAGGCCCCGUGUCGCUGCCCAAGUCGCACGUCCUGGAAGUGAACUCGGACAGUGUAUUAUGCGGUAUGUGAUAACAACAACGUGUGUGGGUGACCCACGCUGUAGUCUCUGGGCCCAUUACACUCUUUAAAAUGAGAGGUUGUCCUAGAAUCAUGAGUGUAGUUAUUUUGUUAGGAGCCCUCUGUCUUCGCAGUUCCCAGCGUUUGGAAGCUGUUGGCGUUUUAAAAUCUCGACCUCGCCACAUGGAUGCCGUCUCAUCGGAAGACACAGAACUGGACCUGGAACCAUGCAGAAGGCGUGAGUGUGGUGCGGAAGACUCCGCGCCCUAAGUGGGGAUUUCUCAGCCAUUCACCCCAAAGACGGUGUCACUGAUUCAGGAAGGCCCUGACUUCUUCCCCUUGUUCUGUUCAUUUCUCUUUCUGGAGCCUCGGGCCACAAGUCUUUUUUGGGGCAGAGGAAGGGAAGAGGUAGCAUUGUGUGUGCGGGGCUAGCAGAGAGGCGGCCUUGCCUUUCGGCUCCUGGAUUACGCAGGUGCCUGUUCGCCGUUAUCUCUGCUUCUCUGUGCUUGCUGGGGGCCUGCCUCACAGGGGUGUCUCCUUGUCCUAAACAAAGCCCUUUCCCCAUCUGUGAAGUUUAGGUUUUAAUAAAAACUCUCUUCCCUC